CCGGCGACCGGCGGACGGGUGCGUGACGCGUAUGUAACCUACCUUUGACAGGGGGAUAACAUCGAGAAAUUGGUACUAAUACCCCAUAACAUCACCGGAGGCAUCUUCGGUGGUUGAAAACUCAGGUGGUCAGAGAUGGACAUGCGUUGUAUUAGCUAGUUGGUGAGGUAACGGCUCACCAAGGCGACGAUACAUAGGGGGACUGAGAGGUCAACCCCCCACAUUGGUACUGAGACACGGACCAAACUCCUACGGAAGGCAGCAG
This 265-nucleotide ribosomal RNA is filed under the name uncultured bacterium. RNAcentral describes it as "partial 16S ribosomal RNA". It matches the Rfam family "Bacterial small subunit ribosomal RNA", at positions 88 to 354 of the family's 1533-position model. The record is from RNAcentral.